GCGUUGUCCGGAUUUAUUGGGCGUAAAGCGCGCGCGGGUGGUUUCUUAAGUCUGAUGUGAAAGCCCACGGCUCAACCGUGGAGGGUCAUUGGAAACUGGGGAACUUGAGUACAGAAGAGGAUAGUGGAAUUCCAAGUGUAGCGGUGAAAUGCGUAGAGAUUUGGAGGAACACCAGUGGCGAAGGCGACUGUCUGGUCUGUAACUGACACUGAGGCGCGAAAGCGUG
RNAcentral lists this ribosomal RNA (226 nucleotides) under uncultured bacterium. RNAcentral's name for it is "partial 16S ribosomal RNA". It matches the Rfam family "Bacterial small subunit ribosomal RNA", at positions 538 to 763 of the family's 1533-position model. The record is from RNAcentral.